This 443-nucleotide ribosomal RNA is filed under the name uncultured bacterium. RNAcentral's name for it is "bacterial SSU rRNA". It matches the Rfam family "Bacterial small subunit ribosomal RNA", at positions 339 to 797 of the family's 1533-position model. The record is from RNAcentral.
UUACGGGAGGCAGCAGUGGGGAAUAUUGGGCAAUGGGGGAAACCCUGACCCAGCAACGCCGCGUGAGGGAAGAAGGUUUUCGGAUCGUAAACCUCUGUCCUCAGGGACGAAAAGAUGACGGUACCUGAGGAGGAAGCCCCGGCUAACUACGUGCCAGCAGCCGCGGUAAUACGUAGGGGGCAAGCGUUGUCCGGAAUGAUUGGGCGUAAAGGGCGCGUAGGCGGCCUGUUAAGUCUGGAGUGAAAGUCCUGCUUUCAAGGUGGGAAUUGCUUUGGAAACUGGCGGGCUGGAGUGCAGGAGAGGUUAGCGGAAUUCCCGGUGUAGCGGUGAAAUGCGUAGAGAUCGGGAGGAACACCAGUGGCGAAGGCGGCUAACUGGACUGUAACUGACGCUGAAGCGCGAAAGUGUGGGGAGCAAACAGGAUUAGAUACCCCCGUAGUCCG